UACGUAGGGGGCAAGCGUUAUUCGGAUUUACUGGGCGUAAAGGGAGCGUAGGUGGCAUGGCAAGUCAGAAGUGAAAACUGGGGGCUCAACCUCCAGACUGCUUUUGAAACUGUCAAGCUAGAGUGCAGGAGAGGUAAGUGGAAUUCCUAGUGUAGCGGUGAAAUGCGUAGAUAUUAGGAGGAACACCAGUGGCGAAGGCGACUUACUGGACUGUAACUGACACUGAGGCUCGAAAGCGUGGGGAGCAAACAGG
Molecule: ribosomal RNA, 253 nt
Filed under: uncultured bacterium
Lineage: Bacteria
Description: partial 16S ribosomal RNA
Rfam family: Bacterial small subunit ribosomal RNA
Source: RNAcentral